AUCCAUCUGACUAGUCCGAAAUAGGAUGAAACGCGCGUCCUGGAU
RNAcentral lists this non-coding RNA (45 nucleotides) under Schistosoma haematobium. The record is from RNAcentral. Lineage: Eukaryota; Metazoa; Platyhelminthes; Trematoda; Strigeidida; Schistosomatidae.